RNAcentral lists this transfer RNA (73 nucleotides) under Vibrio phage nt-1. It matches the Rfam family "tRNA". From Rfam's summary of the family: Transfer RNA (tRNA) molecules are approximately 80 nucleotides in length. Their secondary structure includes four short double-helical elements and three loops (D, anti-codon, and T loops). The record is from Rfam by way of RNAcentral. Lineage: Duplodnaviria; Heunggongvirae; Uroviricota; Caudoviricetes; Pantevenvirales; Straboviridae.
GCACCCUUAGCUCAGUUGGUAGAGCGGCGGAUUGAAGUCCCGCAGGUCACGGUCUCGAUAGCCGUAGGGUGCA